Long non-coding RNA from Astatotilapia calliptera (eastern happy), 6026 nucleotides. The record is from Ensembl. Lineage: Eukaryota; Metazoa; Chordata; Actinopteri; Cichliformes; Cichlidae.
CUGAAAUCCCACAAACACCGUAGUCUGCUUUGAACUUUGUAGUUUUCGGGAAAGGUGAGGGAGCAAUGACCACAGUGUUGGGAGGUUGUUUUUUAGUUUUGAACGUAACCGUAGUCUCUGUCUGUUGCACUUCAAAGACCAACUAAAGUACUGGAUGAUAGAGUCACUCAAGGGUCAUAAUGGGAUUGGUGCAAUACUCUGUGGCCCUCCUGAUGUUAUCCACACAGUUGGUGCUCAGCUUUCCCACACCACAGAACACCUACAACGUUGGUGGGAGAGAGUGUAAAUAUUGUCCUGCAGAGUUGCAUCUUAAAGUGGUUCAGAACUGCACCAGUACGUCUGAUAUUAAAUGUGACUGCGAGGAUGGUUUUAGAUGCAUCAGGUGGGCCCAUGACAAAAAGAACUGCUUGUCUUGUGAGAAGAUGCCAGACCCAACCCCAACCAAGUUUCAUUUUAAAGUGGUUCAGAACUACACCAGUACGUCUGAUAUGAAAUGUGACUGCGAGGAUGGUUUUAGAUGCAUCAGGUGGGCCCAUGACAAAAAGAACUGCUUGUCUUGUGAGAAGAUGCCAGACCCAACCCCAACCAAAGCAGCAGCUACAGAGAUCUCAGUCAGAGAUAAACACACGCCUUUCUCAGUUUCCUCCGGACAUACCAGCACUUCUCCCAAACCCUGCCAAUCUCCAGGGUGUCACCCAACGAAAGAGCCGAAUCCCACGGGAGGUCAUGCCAACCAUUACCUGGCAGCUAUUUUCAUUCCAGUGGGUGUCCUUGCAACUUUGGCCCUUCUCACCUUGUUCUGUGUCUGUCGUCCAAGAGAUGAGACAUAUAUAAGGCAAACUAUUGCAAAGCUCUGGAAUGAGGAAGGGCGAGGUGCUUCUCACAAGUCAAGGGAGCCAACUCAUCAGUUCCCCAGAGACUCAUUCAGUACAAAGCAGCAGCCCUCAACACCUUCAGCAGCCAAUCUUGGUCCAGUCCAUGUGCACAAUCCAGGCACAGUCAUCUUUAGCUUGCUCAGUCAAUUUACGGGUCAAGUCGGGCCAACGACCGAAUGUGGGAAGACGGCUGAGAGAGCGAGGAGAGAGGAAGAGGAUGAGAGAAACUGUCCAGUGUUUCAUCCUGCAUCUUCUCCCAGCAUUCAUCUCUCUGAGGAGGAGAGGAGUGGAGAGAAUGACACCAUUUUCUUCCCUUCCCAGGAGCAGGGGAAAGACUCCCACAUGUCGAAAGAGGAGAUCCUAUGAUGCAUCUCAAAAAAUUCAGAAGACUUGGAUACAACAAACUUUGAAACCACAGAUGAGUAUGGAUCAUAUUCGUCUUUCCUCAGCAAGCUGCGGAUGCACUGACUUUGUUUCUGCAGCUUCUGGAAAACACUCACCUCAGAAAUGUAUUAAAUCUCGGAAGAACAGCUGCAAAGUGGUCUUCUUUGUAAGUUAUGAUUUACGAACUCUUGUAUAUACUUUUAAUAAGCUUCUUUGGCUCAGUGCAAAGAAUGCCAUCCAAGGUGUAGAAAGCUUUGUUAGGUAGUUAUUAGGUAGUUUUAGUCAAAUUUAUUAAGUUUAUUUUAAAUGAAAAAGAAAUAGAAGAAAAAAUGUACACAGAACAUCCACAUGUGAUAUUGAAAAGCUGGCUACAAAAGCAGCUAAUUAUGUCUGCACAUAUAUGUAGAUAUACAUGAAAUAUGUUUAACUUUAUGUACUAUAGUACAUACUUUCCUUUCACUGCCACAAUGUCCCCUCUGUCUUAUCAGUUCCAAGAUUUUUACCCACCACAAUUUUAUACACUUCAAAGUCACAGAUGCCAAAAUGAUCAUCUGUCCUCUCAGGAAACAGCAACAGUUUCAAACUUUCCACCUUCUGGCAUUUCACUGAUCAGCACGGCGCGGAGUGCCUUUUAGCUCCAUUUAAAUGUCCAAAAGCAGUGACGAAUGUUUUCCAUCUGGGAUGUGCCACCGAGUGUCUUGUUAGGUUCUCGCUCCUCCAAAUUCCAGAUCUGGUCUUUAACACAUAGGUUGGUCACAUUUCCCGCACACUUCCUGGACGGGCUUGGACACUUCUUCAUCACAUGCAGGUUGUGUGGCAGGUUUUUCAGCCAAGAAGUACCCUAAGCAGCAAGAAAUGACGGGAUGGUUUUAAUAAGAAUUUAAACAUUUGGGGGUAUUUAUAACACAAAAGUUCUAAGAAAAAUAUUAAGUGAUUUAAAAGAAAUCUACUAACCGUGAGUGAACCUAAUCCAGACUAAAAAUGGCUUGAUUUUUGUCACAACAACCAGUGCAAUUCCUGUACACAGGAGGGCAAUUAUCACCAGGAACCACACCGUAUCUAUAAUAACACAUGAGAGAGUUAGUUUCCAUAAUUUACAUCAGUUCAAUAAUUUCACAGGCAACACAAUUUGGCUACUUUACCUGCAAUCGGUUUAGUGGCGAGCCUGGUGGUGGUAACAUCAGGUGUCGCCACUAGAGGGAAACAUAAAAAAAAGAGAACCUUAUAAGUUCACUGCAGGCAUUAUUAGUUCGAUGACAAGAUGACACUAUUGUGGCUUGGAUUUGUCAGUGAGCUCACUCUUUUGUCCCUAAUGUUUAACUUAUUUCAUCAUGUGUUUGUGUGUGUGUGUGUGUGUUUGAAUGUGUGUGUCCUUUCUCCACGGUUACUACAGAAGAGGCAAACAGUUACAAGAACAUGCAAAUAGCUUCCAAGCAUUAUUAACAGCUCAUUUGUUUGGAUUAUUUUUAGUCAUGUAACAGUUUCAGCUGAAUCAGAAACAUUUUAGGGAUUCUGACUAUGACCUGUCCACAUUACUGUAUGUAGGCAGGAUUACAGUACAGGAAAACACAUGCUACAACUAGGGCCUCUACAGUGACAUUUAAAAAAAGAGACACAACAGACUGUUUUGCUCACCUGCCCUCGUACAGAGCCCAGAGUGAUAAUAACACAGGACACGACAUUAAGACUUUGAAUCAGUUAACAGAUUCAUGUACUACACCCCUAAAUCUGCCUGUCUUCUAGAACUUGUUAUCAUGGAUUGCUACACUGUUACUGAGUUAUGUUGUAGGGGGGAUGGAGGCAUGAAAGGAAAUUUCCUUUAAGCACUGCGCAGAGCUUUGCCAGGAGGCUGUUGAGGUAGACAAGAGAAGUGCACAAUUCUCACAUUCUCACCUGUGUCUGUGCUCUCCUCUGUGGUUAGGUUUAGGCAACUCAAGCACUUCACAUGAAGUUAGUAAAUUCCCUAACCUUUGUGAAGUGCUGAUGGUGCCAAAACGUAACCAUAAUUAAAAAAAAUCUGUUUAAGCUGUAAGUUGUAAACAACAUUUCUUCAUUGUGUUUCAUGAAAAAUGCGAUCCGAUAACAAAUAUUUUAUUUUUUAAUUUGUUGUUGUUUUAAACACUUUUAAACACUGAUGUUAUCACCUCAGAGUGCAUACUUGUCCCUCGCAGACACAGUGGGUUUAAGGUGGAUGACAUCAGCGUUAAAGGCAUCUAAACUCAUUACUGGCAGACUGAAAGAUGCUAAAAGGCCACAUAGAGCUGACUGACCUCUGUAGGGUUGUGGGUGAUGACUAUCUAUGAUUGGGUUUCUCUAAGCAAGUCUUGACGUUAGUGCUGCUUUACAAUAUCCUGAUGGUACUUUUGUGUUGAUAUCUUCUUUUCUUUGGGUUAAAAUAUGCACUCAAAAAAUUAGUCUUUGCCCUCAUAAACACAAAAUGAAACUGAAGUAUAUCAAAUCAAAGGUUUAUUCAUUUAAUUCAUUAAUCGUGAUUUUUUUUUAGGGAGCUCAAUGUAAGUUUCAUUUGGCCAGAUUCCAUUAAUUUGAACAUUUUACGUUGUACUUACGUAACUGAAUUUUUUCAUGUAAUCAGAUUACUUAAAUGCCACCACUUUGGGCAUGAAUAUUUUUUGAGUGUGAAUGUUUCCUUGUUUGUAGGUACCCCACUGGAUCCAGACAAACACGCUAGUAAAUGCUCUUGUGCAUACAUGUAAAUAAACAGUUUCUUUUAACAAACUUAUUACUCUGAGCUACUUUCAGUCUUGUUUUCAUAAAAUAAGGCAUUUGAACUCAUGGGUUCUCAGGAGUAUUUUUAAAUAAAAAAGAAGUUAUAUUCCCAGAUGUAGUUAAAUGAGUAACUUCUCAUGAAAAAUGAGCAUUUGCUGCCCUUUUGUGGUUCAGCCUGUACACUCAGACAAGUUUGACGCCUAAAUCAUUUUGGUGUAAAAGAUGAGUAUAUCUGUUAUGUUAUUGCUUUUCAUGGUAGUGUUAAAUUAGUCUCCGAUCUUAUGUCUUUGGGCAACGCAUCUACAAUGUUAUUUUUUGUGCUUUUACACUGAUAAUCUGUAGCAAAUUGUUAAUGAAAGAAUGCAAAACGACAAAGCUCCUUAAUGAGAAUGUGAUGCUGCACGUGGCCCUCAAGUGUGUUAUGGUUGAAACUAUUCAAAACAAAACACUGCAAUGAAUAAAUGAUAACCACUGUGUCAACAAUUGUUUCACAUUUAGUUGACUGUGCCGAGAAGGGCUCACUUACCAGUAGUAGAUGGAGGGACGGUGGGUUUGAUUGUGGAUACACACUCUUUACAGUCUUGGUCUUUGCACUUGUAGCCAGCCUUACAUGGGCACACAUUGUUAUGAGUCGGGUUGCAGUCUGUCUUGACCUCCACUUUUGCUGUGGAAAAACACGGUCAUUGUUAAAAGUGAUUUAAAGACGGAUAAAGUUGAAAGUGUGUGCAAAGGAUGUCUUUGUGAUAAAACUGAAAAUGUGAAAUGACUCACAAAGCUAGGCACGACAGGUAAAGAUUCUGGUUUGAAGUCAUAAGACCGUUAUAUUAUCACGUCUGGUGCUUCUUCUUUAGAGAAUUUUAAACACUUUUUAAACACUGAUGUUAUCACCUCAGAGUGCAUACUUGUCCCUCGCAGACACAGUGGGUUUAAGGUGGAUGACAUCAGCGUUAAGUGCAUCUAAACUCAUUACUGGCAGACUUUAAAAACUAGAAACAACGAGCUGAAAGAUGCUAAAAGGCCACAUAGAGCUGACUGACCUCUGUAGGGUUGUGGGUGAUGACUAUCUAUGAUUGGGUUUCUCUAAGCAAGUCUUGACGUUAGUGCUGCUUUACAAUAUCCUGAUGGUACUUUUGUGUUGAUAUCUUCUUUUCUUUGGGUUAAAAUAUGCACUCAAAAAAUUAGUCUUUGCCCUCAUAAACACAAAAUGAAACUGAAGUAUAUCAAAUCAAAGGUUUAUUCAUUUAAUUCAUUAAUUGUGAUUUAUUUUUUUUUGGGAGCUCAAUGUAAGUUUCAUUUGGCCAGAUUCCAUUAAUUUGAACAUUUUACGUUGUACUUACGUAACUGAAUUUUUUCAUGUAAUCAGAUUACUUAACGCCACCACUUUGGGCAUGAAUAUUUUUUGAGUGUGAAUGUUUCCUUGUUUGUAGGUACCCCACUGGAUCCAGACAAACACGCUAGUAAAUGCUCUUGUGCAUACAUGUAAAUAAACAGUUUCUUUUAACAAACUUAUUACUCUGAGCUACUUUCAGUCUUGUUUUCAUAAAAUAAGGCAUUUGAACUCAUGGGUUCUCAGGAGUAUUUUUAAAUAAAAAGAAGUUAUAUUCCCAGAUGUAGUUAAAUGAGUAACUUCUCAUGAAAAAUGAGCAUUUGCUGCCCUUUUGUGGUUCAGCCUGUACACUCAGACAAGUUUGACGCCUAAAUCAUUUUGGUGUAAAAGAUGAGUAUAUCUGUUAUGUUAUUGCUUUUCAUGGUAGUGUUAAAUUAGUCUCUGAUCUUAUGUCUUUGGGCAACGCAUCUACAAUGUUAUUUUUUGUGCUUUUACACUGAUAAUCUGUAGCAAAUUGUUAAUGAAAGAAUGCAAAACGACAAAGCUCCUUAAUGAGAAUGUGAUGCUGCACGUGGCCCUCAAGUGUGUUAUGGUUGAAACUAUUCAAAACAAAACACUGCAAUGAAUAAAUGAUAACCACUGUGUCAACAAUUGUUUCACAUUUAGUUGACUGUGCCGAGAAGGGCUCACUUACCAGUAGUAGAUGGAGGGAC